Pelobates cultripes (western spadefoot toad) is the source of this 515-nucleotide non-coding RNA. NCBI's taxonomy places the organism in Eukaryota, Metazoa, Chordata, Amphibia, Anura, Pelobatidae. The record is from the annotation of a GenBank genome assembly.
GCGGAGUUGAAGGAAAAUGGCAGGACAUGGAACACGCUGUCGUAUACGCCAAUCAAGAGCAUCCCAAACAUGCUCAAUGGAUGACAUGUCCAGUGAGUAUGCUGGCCAUGCACAAACUGUGAUGUCAGCUUCCAGAAAUUGUGUACAGAUCCUUGCAACAUGGGGCCGUCCAUUAUCAUGCUGCAACAUGAGGUGAUGGUCGUGGAUAAAUGGCACAACAAUUGGCCUCAGGAUCUUGUCAUGGUAUCUCUGUGCAUUCAAAAUGCCAUCAAUAAAAUGCACCUGUGUUCAUUGUCCAUAACAUUCGCCUGUCCAUACCAUAACCCCACUGCCACCACAGGCCACUCUACUCACAACGUUGACAUCAGCAAACCGCUCACCCAAAAGACGCCAUACACGCUGUCUGCCAUCUGCCCUGUACAGUGAAAACCGUGAUUCAUCCGUGAAGAGAACACCUCUCCAAAGUGCCAGACGCCAUAGAAUGUAAGAAUUUGCCCACUCAAGUCGGUUAUGAU